RNAcentral lists this long non-coding RNA (934 nucleotides) under Mytilus galloprovincialis (Mediterranean mussel). The record is from RNAcentral. Lineage: Eukaryota; Metazoa; Mollusca; Bivalvia; Mytilida; Mytilidae.
CAGUUAUCAGUUUUGUAUAAUAAAAUGGCAGCAAGUGAAAUAUCACAAUAAUAUUUCAUGAGAAAAUGUUUUAGAGUGAAAGGUUUUGUCAUUGUAUAUAUUUCGCAGGAUGAAGUUGAAUUGUAAAUACAGUACUUAAUAAAACAUAUUGGAUAUUCAACAAUGAGGGGGUAAGGAGGGGUCCUGAUCCCAAAAUCUUGGGCUUAAAAACACGAAAUCCUGAGGUCCUGAAUUUAAACAAAAUUAAAUCCUGACAUCCGGAACUUCAAAAAAAGAAUUACUGGGUUCCAAAAGGGUCCAUCCCAAAAUCCUGAGCUUAAAAAUACACUAUUUGGGAGUCCUGAUAAAGGUCCUAUCCCCCUCAACAAUGAUUACGGGUAAUUUGCAAUAAAGUUAAUGUUGUAAGGGUAAAUUAUUGUUGUAAACUGAAAUGGCAGAAGUGUUGACACAAAAUUUAUAUCAAACUAUAAUUAACUUUGGUAAAAAAAAAAAGACUUUUUCAGUUGACUAUCUUUUUUAAUGGAUAUAUGAAUCUGACUUGUUAUAUGCUAGUAUUAUUUAUUAGAAAUCCAGAUUUUGAUUGGUAAAUAGUAGGGACAUAAUUUACUCUAUCCCAUUGCUCAGCAGAAGACAAUCUUUUGAAUGUCACCCUCUCUAGAAGACCAAUCAAAAAUCAAUAAUUUGAAGGACAAUUUACAUCAAUAUUUUGAAAGAAAGUGCUACUGUUUUAUGUUAAGCCAAUUUGUGGCCUCAGAACUGUUUCAUGGACCGUCCAAAUAAAAAAAAAGUACAUCUUGCUUUGCUUUUGCUGUUUUUCUAAUAACAAACGUUAUGCAUAUGACAUCAAAGUUCUUAAAAGUACUUUCAAUUAAAAAUCUUAAAGACAAUAAUGAUUGAAUAUCCAGUAUAAUAAAUUGAAUAACACAUAGCGGAG